NNNNNNNNNNNNNNNNNNNNNNNNCACGCACCCUGCCCACUCGCACACCUGCAUGCACCCUGCACGACUGCACACCUGUACACACGUGCACACAUCCUGCAUGACCACACACACACGCACCCUGUCCACUCGCACACCUGCACGCACCCUGCCCACUCGCACACCUGCAUGCACCCUGCACGACUGCACACCUGCACACACACGUGCACACCCUGCACGUCGGGGCACGCACCCUGCCCACUCGCACACCUGCAUGCACCCUGCACGACUGCACACCUGUACACACGUGCACACAUCCUGCAUGACUGCACACACACGCACCCUGCCCACUCGCACACCUGCACGCACCCUGCACACUUGCACACCUGCAGGCAUGUGCAUGCACACUGCAUGCCUGUGCAUGCACACACCCUGCACACUCGCACACCUGCACACAUGUGCACACGCCCUGCACGACUGCACACACACGCACCCUGCACUCACACACCUGCACACACCUGCAUACACACCCUGCACAUGCACGCACCCUACACACUCACACACCUGCACACACAUGCAUGCACCCUGCACCCCUGCGCACACACGCACCCCGCACACUUGCACACCUGCACACGCAUUCACCCUGCAUACUUGCACACAUGCAGGCAUGUGCACACAGCCUGCAUGCCUGCAUAUGCACACACCCUGCGCCCCUGCACCUGCACACGCACACAGCCUGCACGCAUGCACGCGCACACACCCCACAUGCCUACACACAUGCAUGCACCCUGAGCACCUGCAUGUGCACGAACCCUACAUGCCUGUGCACGUGCACGUGCAUGCACCCUGCACACCUCUGCACAUGCACCUUGCAUGCCUGUGCCCAGGCACGCGCACCCAGCAUGCACGCACAUACACGCACAUGCACCCGACAGUCCUGCGCACAUGCGUGCGCACGCACCCUGCACACCCGUGCACACGCACAUGCACCCUGCAGGCCCGCGCGCACGCACACGCACGCUGCCUGUCUGCGCACACACGUGAGCAGGCCGGCAGCCUCGCACACACCCGCACAGGCACCCGCACCCCUGCGCACGCGUGUCGUGCCGGCCCAGGGAGCCACGGGCAGGCCG
RNAcentral lists this long non-coding RNA (1112 nucleotides) under Struthio camelus australis. RNAcentral describes it as "lncRNA (ENSSCUG00000007533.1)". The record is from RNAcentral. Lineage: Eukaryota; Metazoa; Chordata; Aves; Struthioniformes; Struthionidae.